Oreochromis niloticus (Nile tilapia) is the source of this 2738-nucleotide long non-coding RNA. The record is from Ensembl. NCBI's taxonomy places the organism in Eukaryota, Metazoa, Chordata, Actinopteri, Cichliformes, Cichlidae.
AACAGCGCUCACUGUGGCAGUGUUAUCAUGUUUCAUUACAAUAAUUAAGAUUCAGAUUCUACUGUGUAAAUAAUUUGAGUCGUCAACUAUUUCAUGUGUGCAGACAAACACCACCAUAAACCUAUUUUCUAAUAACAAACCAAAUGUACAGAAGAGCUGCAUUAAUGUAAACACUUACCUCAUCUAACAGUCUUCACACAUUUAACUUCCUCUUUUCUAUUAUUGAUAAAGAUAUUUUCCACUGUUAAACAAUCCUUUAAAGGGAAAACAGGGGAGUUUGCAAAAUAGAUUAAAUAUAAAAGUUAUUAAAUGUGAAAAAGGAUUUAGCAAAAUUUAUAUCUACAUUAAGACAGAGGGGCAGAUACAGAUGUCUAAAAGCUGAAUGAACUGAAAUAAUUCAGCAAGAGCAGAGAAAAGGAGUGAUGUCACUAUGAGGAAGUGAGCAGGAAGUUGAUGCUGUAUUCAUCUCUGAGACUGUCUCAUUUGUGAACGUGAGAGCAAGAACAGAGACUGAGAGAGACAGAGAAGCACGAUGGCUGCAUUCACAUGGAUUCAAAUGUCUUCAUUACUGAUACUGAUGCUUCAGUUUAAAGGAACAACUGAGCAACAUCAAACUGUCACAGCUGGACGUGGACAUGAUGUUACUCUGCCUUGUAAAAAUGUGAUACAAGGUCAGCAUAACUGUAUCAGUACUGUCUGGAUCUUCAGUGAUUCAAGCAGCUCAGUAUCAAUCUUUGAAUUUGGGCAGAAUAAAGAAGCCAAACCUAAAUCAGACAGACUGAGUGUUUCUGCAGACUGUUCUCUGGUUAUAAAGAAGGUCACAGAUCAGGAUGUUGGUCGUUACACCUGCAGACAGUUCAAAACAGCAACAGGAUCACAAGAAGGUCCAGACUUUAUGAUUGAUCUGUCUGUUAUUAACAGUAAAGAUGUGAAAACGACAACAAAAUCAACAAUUAAACCAACAUUAAAAAUAACAAAUAUAUGGACAACAAGAGAGGAAGUAAAGACAUCGCUGACAACAACAUCAAAUCAACCAGACGGUGAAGAUGUGAAAACAACAAAAUCAACAACAGUGAAGUUCACCACAAAAACAUCAUCGACAACAAAAUCCACAACAUCAACAAUUAAACCAACCGUGAAAAUAAACACAUGGACAACAAGAGAGGAAUUAAAGACAUCAGCAGGGACACUGACAACAGCAUCAAAUAUUCCAUCUGGAGUUCUUUCAGGAUUUAUCAUCGUUCCUGUGGGUUUAGCAGCUCUCUUAAUAACUGUUGCUACCGUCAACAUGUGGAUAAAAUGUAACGGAAACAAAACACAGAUGGAAAAAACCGCUGAGCAUAAUGAUGAGGGUGAAGAUGGAGUGAACUAUGAACAUAUUGGAGACUCUUCUGCUUCUGUCAGACUCCACUGAUCAACAACUCAAACAUCAUCUCAUCACAUAAAUUAGCCCAUUGCUGUGAAAACACUGUGUGUCUCUGUGUGUGACUGGGUCUAAGUUUGAGACUUGCUGAGCCUUGACACCUGUGGGACAAGAUUAUAGAAGGUGAGGGUUGCUCCUCCCUACCACUCUCUUCUGGUCAUUGCCCAUGAGAACAGUCCUGAGCUCAUCCUUGGUUCUGGCUCUUAAACGUUCACCAUGAGAGCUCUUUCUGGGCCUCCUUUGUCAUUCUUUCCUCCUUUUACUUGUGCCAGCACACGGUCAUUGUCAUCUGGACAUGUGGGCUUGUGUCUGCAGGACUCUUGGGGUGCUGUGGAGGGCCCAACUAAACUGUGUGUUUCUCUUUCACACUCACAUGCAAGAUUGUGCGUUUUUUUGAGGUGCUGUUUGUUUUUUGUAUAUGUUUUUCUUACAGGUGCAGCAGAUGGUGAUCUGUUGAGUUGAACUAUGUGUGCUGUGUCCUUUUGAUUUUGUCUUCUCUUGAUUUUUCUCUGUUUUUCUUUUUUCCCUUUCUCCUCUCUACCCAUUCUUACCUCUCCCUACCUGUCAGCUCUGGUAUUGAUCAAUUACACAUAAGUUAAUGUGAAUAACAAUGGAAAUGAAUAAAUCAAAUAGAAUAAAAAGAAAGACUAAGAUAAGAAACCUAUACAAAAUUCAUAAAGCUCCUCUUGGCAAAGCAAAUGUGUUGGCACAACAGAGCAUUCAGAUCAUGUUUCUGAUUGUGAAUGCUGUCGGACAAGACAGGUUUAAAAAAAGGAAACAAAAAAUUACAUUUUGAUUUUUUCUCAUAUUUAGCUAAAAACUUUUUCAGGUACAUUUAGAUUUAUCUAACAAGUAAAAUACCAUACAGCAAUUAUUUAUCCUUUAUUUAAUUAUGAUAAACAGAAUCUUUUGUUUGUUUAAAUUUGCUGUUGAUGAUUUUUAUUAAAGGUAACCCACUGAGUUAAAAAUGACAGGUUAUUUAUUGCUGUUUAAAUGUUGUGUUAUUUAUUUGAUUGGUAGUCUUCUUACUUUAUUUUUAUUCCUGAGGUGAGUUUUAAUGAGAUUUACAAACAGUAACAGAUAUAAUGAUCCAAAUUAUAACUUCAGUUUCUAACUAUUGCUUUUUUUGCUGUAUGAUAAUAAGAAUAAAUGUAAACAUGUUUGUGAACAACUUUGUGUGUUUUUGAAAUCUCUCCAUCUCACACCUCACACACACCUGAUCCAUCCACCACAGACCACAGUACAAUCUACCAUCUAUUAUUGUCUCCAGUUUGACUUCCUGUUCUUUCAUAUUCAGUAUUAAACUUUUACUCUG